Molecule: long non-coding RNA, 200 nt
Filed under: Malus domestica (apple)
Lineage: Eukaryota; Viridiplantae; Streptophyta; Magnoliopsida; Rosales; Rosaceae
Description: long non-coding RNA (MDOM_LNC018758)
Source: RNAcentral
UUUAACUGGUGGAGAUGCACAAGGUAAUGUAUCAAUUUCACUUGAAGCUUACUUGUAGUUUCAGGCUUGGUCAAGCGUGAUACAAACCAUGUAGCAGAAGUCCCCCAAAUCGCCGAGCUAGGGGAUCUGCUAAAAGAGGUGACAGACAAGGUAAGCAAUCAGAGCUCCAAGUAAUCAGUCCCAGAUCAGAAGUUUGAUUU